Molecule: long non-coding RNA, 384 nt
Filed under: Salvia miltiorrhiza (redroot sage)
Lineage: Eukaryota; Viridiplantae; Streptophyta; Magnoliopsida; Lamiales; Lamiaceae
Description: long non-coding RNA (SMIL_LNC011462)
Source: RNAcentral
UCUUAAGAUGCCUAAUUCCCUCCAAAUAGUCGAAAAAAAUGAACACAUUAAACAUGAAAAAAACUGGCGCCACUUUUCAAUUAAAAUUGCCACCAAAAGUUAUGUUUACAACCCUAUAAAAAGGGGUGUUUGCACAUUCUUAUUACACCAAAAUUUGGGCAGCAUUUCGCCCCAAAUUCUUCUAAAAAAAACUGCUUCCACCAAAAAAAAAGAAUGACAAGAAGGAAAGAUCUCAGCGGGGCCGAAUGACAAGCUAUUGCUUUGUUUCUUCUUCAAAACUCAUCAAAUGGGAAGCUUCACUAUGGGACGGCCAAGGCAGCCAUGGAGAAAUGGGGAUGCUGUCGGAGUUCUAUCGCCCGUUUGUGGAAGGCUGCAAAAGAGGAA